Molecule: ribosomal RNA, 918 nt
Filed under: Triticum aestivum (bread wheat)
Lineage: Eukaryota; Viridiplantae; Streptophyta; Magnoliopsida; Poales; Poaceae
Description: partial small subunit ribosomal RNA
Source: RNAcentral
AUGUUACUCGCUCCACCACCUACCGCAGCUACCGCGGCGGCCUCCCCUACGCUCGCCGGCCUGGGGCUGCCGCAGCUCAUUGAUGGUGCAUCAGGGCGCGUGCUGCCCUGUAUCGCUCUCCGGGAGGCAGUCGUCGGUCCGCCCGAGGGCUGGGUGGACCUGGUCUCCGGGAGAAUCCUUCCGUGUGUGGCUCUGUCCGCCAUGGCGGAGGAGGCUGCAUCUCGAGUAAGUGCGCCCCCCUCCCUUUCCUUUCCCGGGCAGGUGCACACCACUCAGUCCGAGCUGCCAGAGCUCCUCCGCCGCUCUUGGGCUGAUGUGGCCAAUUCGGCCAGGCCGCGCCUGAACUCCAUUAUUGUGGAUCCUGCGGUGGUGGACGCCAGCCCCGCUCCGGGCACCGCUGCUCGUCAGGCACGCGAGGGAUCUCCUGCGUCUGGGCAUCAGAUUUGCACGCCGCCCGUACCGCCUGACCCCGCCACAGCGAGCCGCGAGUGGACGCGGGUGCUCUCGAGGCGUGAGAGGAGCCUGGCGAGGCGCCAGAUAGAUUGCCCGCGGCAGCGGCCAAAGGAUUCGGCGGGAUCUCACCAUGAACGCCCGGCAUCCGCAGCUGCAGAGGCCUUCAAGAGGAGAUUUGGGAACUGCUGCUACCGAUGCCUCGCCCCCCGGCAUAAAUUCUUCGAGUGCCGCGACCCUCGAAUCUGCUACACCUGCAAGCGAACGGGCCAUCUCGAGCGUGAGUGCCCUGUUCGUAGAAAAGACACUGCUGGGCACGCCCCCGAUCUCACUUCUGCCAUGCUGCGCACCCCCCACGCCAGGUCGCGCACCCCCGCCGUCCACCGCUAUCUGCAGGCACCAAAGGAAGGCCCUGCCGCACCCCCGCCGAGUGCUCCGGUGCCGCCCCAAGGUCCAAUGGAGGAGUAG